RNAcentral lists this ribosomal RNA (502 nucleotides) under Acinetobacter baumannii. Its description in RNAcentral is "bacterial SSU rRNA". It matches the Rfam family "Bacterial small subunit ribosomal RNA", at positions 160 to 656 of the family's 1533-position model. The record is from RNAcentral. Lineage: Bacteria; Pseudomonadati; Pseudomonadota; Gammaproteobacteria; Moraxellales; Moraxellaceae.
AUGCUAAUACCGCAUACGUCCUACGGGAGAAAGCAGGGGAUCUUCGGACCUUGCGCUAAUAGAUGAGCCUAAGUCGGAUUAGCUAGUUGGUGGGGUAAAGGCCUACCAAGGCGACGAUCUGUAGCGGGUCUGAGAGGAUGAUCCGCCACACUGGGACUGAGACACGGCCCAGACUCCUACGGGAGGCAGCAGUGGGGAAUAUUGGACAAUGGGGGGAACCCUGAUCCAGCCAUGCCGCGUGUGUGAAGAAGGCCUUAUGGUUGUAAAGCACUUUAAGCGAGGAGGAGGCUACUUUAGUUAAUACCUAGAGAUAGUGGACGUUACUCGCAGAAUAAGCACCGGCUAACUCUGUGCCAGCAGCCGCGGUAAUACAGAGGGUGCGAGCGUUAAUCGGAUUUACUGGGCGUAAAGCGUGCGUAGGCGGCUUAUUAAGUCGGAUGUGAAAUCCCCGAGCUUAACUUGGGAAUUGCAUUCGAUACUGGUGAGCUAGAGUAUGGGAGAG